GGUUGAUCCUGCCAGUAGCAUACGCUUGUCUCAAAGAUUAAGCCAUGCAUGUCUAAGUAUAAACAACUUUAUACUGUGAAACUGCGAAUGGCUCAUUAUAUCAGUUAUAGUUUCUUUGAUGGUGACACUACUUGGAUAACCGUAGUAAUUCUAGAGCUAAUACAUGCAGCAAUCCCUGACUUCGGAAAGGGUGUACUUAUUAGAUGGAAACCAAUGAGGGGCAACCCUGUGUAUGGUGAUUCAUAAUAAUUUUCGGAUCGAUCUAUGAUCGAUGCAUCAUUCAAGUUUCUGC
RNAcentral lists this ribosomal RNA (292 nucleotides) under uncultured eukaryote. Its description in RNAcentral is "partial 18S ribosomal RNA". It matches the Rfam family "Eukaryotic small subunit ribosomal RNA", at positions 6 to 310 of the family's 1831-position model. The record is from RNAcentral.